This 247-nucleotide ribosomal RNA is filed under the name uncultured bacterium. RNAcentral's name for it is "partial 16S ribosomal RNA". It matches the Rfam family "Bacterial small subunit ribosomal RNA", at positions 107 to 354 of the family's 1533-position model. The record is from RNAcentral.
UGAGUAACGCGUGAGGAACCUGCCUUUCGGAGGGGGACAACAGUUGGAAACGACUGCUAAUACCGCAUGAUACAUUUGAGCCGCAUGGUCUGAAUGUCAAAGAUUUAUCGCCGAAAGAUGGCCUCGCGUCUGAUUAGCUAGUUGGUGGGGUAACGGCCCACCAAGACGACGAUCAGUAGCCGGACUGAGAGGUUGGCCGGCCACAUUGGGACUGAGAUACGGCCCAGACUCCUACGGAAGGCAGCAG